This 406-nucleotide ribosomal RNA is filed under the name uncultured bacterium. RNAcentral describes it as "partial 16S ribosomal RNA". It matches the Rfam family "Bacterial small subunit ribosomal RNA", at positions 30 to 526 of the family's 1533-position model. The record is from RNAcentral.
AUUGAACGCUGGCGGCAGGCUUAACACAUGCAAGUCGAGCGAGCGGCGGACGGGUGAGUAAUGUCUGGGAAACUGCCCGAUGGAGGGGGCUAACUACUGGAAACGGUAGCUAAUACCGCAUACCAUCGGAUGUGCCCAGAUGGGAUUAGCUAGUAGGUGGGGUAAAGUCUCACCUAGGCGACGUUCCCUAGCUGGUCUGAGAGGAUGACCAGCCAAACUGGAACUGAGACACGGUCCAGACUCCUACGGGAGGCAGCAGUGGGGAAUAUUGAACAAUGGGCGCAAGCCUGAUGCAGCCAUGCCGCGUGUAUAAAGAAGGCCUUCGGGUUGUAAAGUACUUUCAGCGAGGAGGCGUUACUCGCAGAAGAAGCACCGGCUAACACCGUGCCAGCCGCCGCGGUAAUUC